This is a non-coding RNA of Biomphalaria pfeifferi, 207 nucleotides long. The record is from the annotation of a GenBank genome assembly. Lineage: Eukaryota; Metazoa; Mollusca; Gastropoda; Planorbidae.
UCUUCCUUCUUAAAAAAAAAAAACGUGGUUUUUGUAAUGUGUAAUUCUGUAACACUGGACAUCUAAUGUUCACCAGUUGAAAAAAAUGAAAACAAUUUUUUUUUCCAAUUACCGCUUCUCAAUAAUUCAAUUUCUUGUACACCGGUUACACAACAGACUUCCAUUUAUAAAAAAUCCCACUUACUUCAUUUUGCAAUGUCCAAUGUA